UACAGAGGUGGCAAGCGUUGUUCGGAAUUACUGGGCGUAAAGCGCACGUAGGCGGACUUGUAAGUUGGGGGUGAAAUCCCGGGGCUCAACCCCGGAAUUGCCUUCAAGACUGCAAGUCUGGAGGUCAGGAGAGGCGAGCGGAAUUCCGAGUGUAGAGGUGAAAUUCGUAGAUAUUCGGAGGAACACCAGUGGCGAAGGCGGCUCGCUGGACUGAUACUGACGCUGAGGUGCGAAAGCGUGGGGAGCAAACAGG
RNAcentral lists this ribosomal RNA (253 nucleotides) under uncultured bacterium. RNAcentral's name for it is "partial 16S ribosomal RNA". It matches the Rfam family "Bacterial small subunit ribosomal RNA", at positions 524 to 776 of the family's 1533-position model. The record is from RNAcentral.